This 262-nucleotide ribosomal RNA is filed under the name uncultured archaeon. Its description in RNAcentral is "partial 16S ribosomal RNA". It matches the Rfam family "Archaeal small subunit ribosomal RNA", at positions 748 to 1008 of the family's 1478-position model. The record is from RNAcentral.
AGGGUGUAAACGCUGCAGACUUGGUGUUGGGAACCCUUCGGGGGUGCUCAGUGCCGGAGAGAAGUUGUUAAGUCUGCUACUUGGGGAGUACGUCCGCAAGGAUGAAACUUAAAGGAAUUGGCGGGGGAGCACCGCAACGGGAGGAGCGUGCGGUUUAAUUGGAUUCAACGCCGAAAAACUCACCAGCAGCGACUGUUACAUGAAGGCCGAGAUAGAAGACUCUGCUAGUAUUUCAGAGAGGUGGUGCAUGGCGUCAGUGACU